GACGAACGCUGGCGGCGUGCCUAAUACAUGCAAGUUGAGCGAUGACGCUUGGUGCUUGCACCCAUUUGAAGAGCAGCGAACGGGUGAGUAACGCGUGGGGAAUCUGCCUUUGAUCGGGGGACAACAUUUGGAAACGACUGCUAAUACUGCCUCACAACUUUAAACAUAAGUUUUAAGUUUUCAAGAUGCAAUUGCCUCACUCAAAGAUGAUUCCGCGGUGUAUUAGCUAGGUGGUGAGGUAAAGGCUCACCAAGGCGAUGAUACAUAGCCGACCUGAGAGGGUGGACGGCCACAAUUGGACUGAGACAAGGCCCAAACUUCUACGGGAGGCAGCAGGAGGGAAACUUCGGCAAUGGAGGAAAAUCUUACCGCAGAACGCCGCGGGAGUGAAGGAGGGUUUCGGAUCGUAAAACUCUGUUUGUAGAGAAGAACGGUGGGGAGAGUGGAAAGCUCAUCAAGUGACGGUAACUACCCAGAAAGCAACGGCUAACUACGUG
RNAcentral lists this ribosomal RNA (497 nucleotides) under uncultured bacterium. RNAcentral describes it as "partial 16S ribosomal RNA". It matches the Rfam family "Bacterial small subunit ribosomal RNA", at positions 28 to 507 of the family's 1533-position model. The record is from RNAcentral.